Molecule: transfer RNA, 73 nt
Filed under: Desmophyllum pertusum
Lineage: Eukaryota; Metazoa; Cnidaria; Anthozoa; Scleractinia; Caryophylliidae
Description: tRNA-Arg
Source: RNAcentral
GAGACGGUGGCCUAAUGGUUAGCGCGCUGGACUCCGGACCAAGCUGUCCGAGUUCAAGUCCUGGCCGGGGUCA